Molecule: ribosomal RNA, 254 nt
Filed under: uncultured bacterium
Lineage: Bacteria
Description: partial 16S ribosomal RNA
Rfam family: Bacterial small subunit ribosomal RNA
Source: RNAcentral
UACGAAGGGGGCUAGCGUUGUUCGGAAUUACUGGGCGUAAAGCGCGCGCAGGCGGUCUUUCAAGUUGGGGGUGAAAUCCCAGAGCUCAACUCUGGAAUUGCCUUCAAGACUGUGAGACUUCGAGUACGGGAGAGGUGAGUGGAAUUCCCAGUGUAGAGGUGAAAUUCGUAGAUAUUGGGAAGAACACCGGUGGCGAAGGCGGCUCACUGGCCCGUUACUGACGCUCAGGCGCGACAGCGUGGGGAUCAAACAGG